Molecule: small RNA, 172 nt
Filed under: Streptomyces glaucescens
Lineage: Bacteria; Bacillati; Actinomycetota; Actinomycetes; Kitasatosporales; Streptomycetaceae
Description: c-di-AMP sequence
Rfam family: c-di-AMP riboswitch aptamer (ydaO/yuaA leader)
About the family: This family represents a conserved RNA structure found upstream of the ydaO and yuaA genes in Bacillus subtilis and related genes in other bacteria. The ydaO/yuaA element is thought to act as a genetic "off" switch for the ydaO and yuaA genes in its native state.
Source: Rfam by way of RNAcentral
GCCACCCAACCGCGAACUCACUCGUACGGCAGGAGCGGGGGACCCAGGUAUGCCGCCGGUCCGGGCACGCACCCGGACCGGCUCGGGGUGAAGCCGUGCGCUCAGGCGCACGGCCGGGCACCUCCCAGCCCGAACCCGACAGCUCACCUCGCAGGCGCCGGAGAGGACAUUC